AUACGGAAGGGGCAAGCGUUGUUCGGAAUCAUGGGGCGUAAAGGGCAGGUAGGCGGUCAUGUAAGUCUGUUGUGAAAUCCCAGGGCUCAACCCUGGAACUGCAUCAGAUACUGCGUGACUUGAGUGUUGGAGAGGUGAGGGGAAUUCCUGGUGUAAGGGUGAAAUCUGUAGAUAUCAGGAGGAACACCGAUGGCGAAGGCACCUCACUGGCCGACAUCUGACGCUGAACUGCGAAAGCAAGGGGAGCAAACAGGAUUAGAAACCCCAGUAGUCC
Molecule: ribosomal RNA, 274 nt
Filed under: uncultured bacterium
Lineage: Bacteria
Description: partial 16S ribosomal RNA
Rfam family: Bacterial small subunit ribosomal RNA
Source: RNAcentral